AUGGAGGCCGCGGCGGUGCAGGGCAAUAAGACGAGGCGGCGAGCUGGGCGCGACCGGUGCAUGUUAUGGGUGCGCACUGGACGCGUCGGGACCGCGGGAGUGGACCGCGUCGAGGCGCUGGACCUGGUUGCGCAGAUGCAUACGUGCGCGGCGGGAGCGCGGGCCGGGAGCGCGGGGACGUGGGGAGUGCGCGCGAAGGGCACGGCGGUCGCGGAGACAAGGAGGUCGCGAAGGACCUGCGUGGUGGCGCAGAGGGCGCGACGGCUCGGGGCGACAAUCGUGGAAGGUGCGUGGCACGGAGCCGCGGCGUGGCGCCUGCCAUGGCGGACGCGGAGGCAGCACGCGGUGAGCGUCUGGUGCUGUCGGGCUCGUCGGGCGCGUCGGAUGCACGCGGGACGUGCGGGACGCACUGAUGCGGUCGGGCUCGUCGGGCGCGCCGGGUGCACGCGGGACGUGGGGGUGCGGAGGGACGCCAAGCGUGUGUCGCCGGCGGAGAUGGAGCUCGACGUAUGUCGCCGGGGUCGUGACGGAGCACGGUGCGACCGGCGUCAGUGCGCCAGGUCGGCUCCGUGGCGGUGCGACCGGCGUCGAUGCGCCAGGUCGGGUCCGCGGGCUGGGUCACGGCCAUGA
Molecule: ribosomal RNA, 630 nt
Filed under: Triticum aestivum (bread wheat)
Lineage: Eukaryota; Viridiplantae; Streptophyta; Magnoliopsida; Poales; Poaceae
Description: partial small subunit ribosomal RNA
Source: RNAcentral